This is a non-coding RNA of Castor canadensis (American beaver), 440 nucleotides long. Lineage: Eukaryota; Metazoa; Chordata; Mammalia; Rodentia; Castoridae. The record is from the annotation of a RefSeq genome assembly.
AGCCUUCAGAGAGCAUGGAGGUCCUGGGGCUGCUCCUCUGCCUGGUGGCAGCUCCCUGCUGUGUCCUGUCCCAGGUGCAACUUCAGGAGUCAGGACCUGGCCUAGUGAAGCCCUCAGAAACCUUGUCCAUCACCUGCACUGUCUCUGGAUUCUCUUUAAGCAGUUAUGGUGUUUACUGGGUCCGCCAGCCUCCAGGAAAUGGCCUGGAAUGGAUGGGUGUCAUAUGGGCUAGUGGAAGCACGCAGUAUAACUCAGGACUUCAAUCCCGACUCAGCAUCAGUAAGGACACUUCCAAGAACCAGGUUAUAUUAGCACUGAGCAGCCUGAGAACUGAGGACACAGCCGUGUAUUAUUGUGCAAGAGACACAGUGGUGGGACUUCAAUGUGAGCCCAGACACAAACCUCCCUGCAAUGCAGUCAGGAACAACAGGGGGCGCUAG